CCUACGGGAGGCAGCAGUGAGGCAUAUUGGUCAAUGGGCGCAAGCCUGAACCAGCCAAGUCGCGUGAGGGAUGACGGUCCUAUGGAUUGUAAACCUCUUUUGUCGGGGAGCAAGGCCCGCCACGUGUGGCGGGAAGGAGAGUACCCGAAGAAAAAGCAUCGGCUAACUCCGUGCCAGCAGCCGCGGUAAUACGGAGGAUCCAAGCGUUAUCCGGAUUUAUUGGGUUUAAAGGGUGCGUAGGCGGAUGUAUAAGUUAGAGGUGAAAUGUCCGAGCUUAACUCGGGAACUGCCUCUAAUACUGUUGAUCUAGAGAGUAGAUGCGGUAGGCGGAAUGUAUGGUGUAGCGGUGAAAUGCUUAGAGAUCAUACAGAACACCGAUUGCGAAGGCAGCUUACCAAUCUAUAUCUGACGUUGAGGCACGAAAGCGUGGGGAGCAAACAGGAUUAGAUACCCGGGUAGUC
RNAcentral lists this ribosomal RNA (461 nucleotides) under uncultured bacterium. RNAcentral describes it as "partial 16S ribosomal RNA". It matches the Rfam family "Bacterial small subunit ribosomal RNA", at positions 338 to 795 of the family's 1533-position model. The record is from RNAcentral.